CAGCAGCCGCGGGAAUACGGAGGGGGCUAGCGUUGUUCGGAAUUACUGGGCGUAAAGCGCACGUAGGCGGCUUGGUAAGUUAGAGGUGAAAGCCUGGAGCUCAACUCCAGAAUUGCCUUUAAGACUGCCGAGCUAGCAGGUGAGAGAGGUAAGUGGAAUUCCGAGUGUAGAGGUGAAAUUCGUAGAUAUUCGGAAGAACACCAGUGGCGAAGGCGGCUUACUGGCUCAUACUGGACGCUGAGGUGCGAAAGCGUGGGGAGCAAACAGGAUUAGAGACCCGCGUAGUCCCUGUCUCUUAUAA
RNAcentral lists this ribosomal RNA (301 nucleotides) under uncultured bacterium. RNAcentral's name for it is "partial 16S ribosomal RNA". It matches the Rfam family "Bacterial small subunit ribosomal RNA", at positions 509 to 809 of the family's 1533-position model. The record is from RNAcentral.